Molecule: small nuclear RNA, 265 nt
Filed under: Erinaceus europaeus (western European hedgehog)
Lineage: Eukaryota; Metazoa; Chordata; Mammalia; Eulipotyphla; Erinaceidae
Description: 7SK RNA
Rfam family: 7SK RNA
About the family: 7SK was discovered as an abundant small nuclear RNA in the mid-70s but a possible function has only recently been suggested.
Source: Rfam by way of RNAcentral
AGGUGAGUUAGCUGACAUGUCACCCCAUGAUCACCAGCGUUACUUUGAGCUGAUCUGCCUGGCUAGGCAGGUGUCCCCUUACCACUCCCUGUGAGCACCUACAAAGCUACACACUUGGCUGAAGAAGACCUUUUCCAAACAGACUGACCAGUCUCUGGUGGAGAGUAUGCAAAUAGCUGUGCUCCCCUACUAGAACUUCAAACUAGCUUUCAAAAUAUAAUAGUUGGCCUUAGUUUUUGUUUUGAAGCCUCAUGUGAUUAACAAU